Molecule: small nucleolar RNA, 131 nt
Organism: Rattus norvegicus (Norway rat)
Lineage: Eukaryota; Metazoa; Chordata; Mammalia; Rodentia; Muridae
Product: small nucleolar RNA SNORA17
Source: Ensembl
ACUGCCCCUAGAGAAACUGCAGGUGUGGCUGCUGUGUCACGUGUGUGUCAGUAGGUGGCAGAGAGGAGAGGCUAUGUCUAUGUUCAAUAUUCCGACCUGCGAACAUCUGAAUAGAUUAGUAGCCUAAUGCU